This 206-nucleotide ribosomal RNA is filed under the name Escherichia coli. RNAcentral describes it as "partial 16S ribosomal RNA". It matches the Rfam family "Bacterial small subunit ribosomal RNA", at positions 1 to 214 of the family's 1533-position model. Lineage: Bacteria; Pseudomonadati; Pseudomonadota; Gammaproteobacteria; Enterobacterales; Enterobacteriaceae. The record is from RNAcentral.
AAAUUGAAGAGUUUGAUCAUGGCUCAGAUUGAACGCUGGCGGCAGGCCUAACACAUGCAAGUCGAACGGUAACAGGAAUCAGCUUGCUGAUUCGCUGACGAGUGGCGGACGGGUGAGUAAUGUCUGGGAAACUGCCUGAUGGAGGGGGAUAACUACUGGAAACGGUAGCUAAUACCGCAUAACGUCGCAAGACCAAAGAGGGGGAC